Amphiprion ocellaris (clown anemonefish) is the source of this 646-nucleotide long non-coding RNA. The record is from Ensembl. Lineage: Eukaryota; Metazoa; Chordata; Actinopteri; Pomacentridae.
AUUACACACUGUGCUGUACGAUUGAGACAAGGAAACUUGGGAUGACUUUUCAUAGGUUUCCCAGAGACUAUGGGUUGAGGAGGAAUUGGAAGUUUGUCGGCUUAGACCUGGUGUCAUUCCAUCAGUGUUAAACUUCCCGGCUCAUCUUGGAAGAGUACGUGCCAGAAAGACCACGACCAAGCAGCCUUGAGAUCUUAGACAGCGUCUCCCUCAGGUCCCUCUCUAUCUCCCCACACAUCCACCAACCACUGGAACACAUCUCCAAAGUUCUGCCGGGCCAGCUCAGCUUCCCCUCAGAAGAAGUGCUGCCACCUGCCAGAUGAAGGAGCCUUUUGAGAGGCAGCUGGCAUCGUGACUGGACUGUACUUUGGUCUGUUCCAAUCCAGCUUCAGCUCCAGAGACGGCAGGCGGGACGAGUCAACGGAGGCCGGAUGGACGAAGGCAUGAAGCUGAGUACAAUCCAGAAAACAACAGAGGAGGAGUGCAGCAGCCCAGAGCCAGAACAACCAGAGUAGCAUCGUAUGUCUCUUAGAAAACAUCAUAGUAGAGUCUUUGCUAUGAAAAAACGCCAUCAUAUACAUCAUAUAUUGUACAAAUAACAAGUCAAAGGAAAGAGACAUACAUUGUAGAAUUGUAGUAAUUGUGG